RNAcentral lists this unclassified non-coding RNA (384 nucleotides) under soil metagenome. RNAcentral describes it as "partial contains 5.8S ribosomal RNA, internal transcribed spacer 2, and large subunit ribosomal RNA". The stretch from base 1 to 120 matches the Rfam family "5.8S ribosomal RNA", at positions 35 to 154 of the family's 154-position model. The record is from RNAcentral.
GAUGAAGAACGUAGCGAAAUGCGAUAAGUAGUGUGAAUUGCAGAAUUCAGUGAAUCAUCGAAUCUUUGAACGCAUCUUGCGCUCCUUGGUAUUCUGAGGAGCAUGCCUGUUUGAGUGUCAUUUCAAGUUCUCAACCACAUCAAUUUCAAUGUGGCUUGGAUGGUGGGGGUUCUUUUUGCAGGCUUCUGUAAAUAUGAAGUCGGCUCCCCUGAAAUGUAUUAGUGGUAUCUGAGCUACUACAGGUGUGAUAACUAUCUAUGCCUUGGUAUGCUGCAUGAAACAGAUUGCGCCGCUUCUAACAAGUGGGAAACACAAUUUUGAUGAAUUUGACCUCAAAUCAGGUAGGACUACCCGCUGAACUUAAGCAUAUCAAUAAGCGGAGGA